Girardinichthys multiradiatus is the source of this 1292-nucleotide long non-coding RNA. RefSeq lists it as uncharacterized. NCBI's taxonomy places the organism in Eukaryota, Metazoa, Chordata, Actinopteri, Cyprinodontiformes, Goodeidae. The record is from RefSeq and is a predicted model, not a curated record. The transcript has 3 exons.
CUGCUCCCAGCACCUCCAGGAAGGGUGUGUGAGUAUGUGUGUGUGUGUGUGUGUGUGUGUGUGUGAGAGAGAGAGAGAGAGAGUGUGACAGAGCGGGAGAGUACGUAUGUGCGCAUCCGCCUGCUGCGCGCGAUUGUGCAUGAGCAUGCAUGCGUCUGUCUGGGUGAUUGAGGCUGAGGGGAUGGGAGGAGAGGAUGCAAGGGAGAGAGAACGAGGACAUGCGUUAGAGGCAGAGAGGAGAGUAAAUAGGAACAGAUCAACCCACACACGCACAGAAACAUACAAAAUAUCAACUCCUCAGGUAAAGUCCAGGGGAAAAAAGGAUGAGAUCUUUGGCUAGAUGUCCUUUGUUUCCCUCCCCCUUCUCUGCAUCACAGACUGUCCUCUUUAAGGAUGAGGGCCCCUUUACCCGCUUUCCCUCCUCUUUUUGUGCCUCACCUGACUGUUAGACACAACUCACAGCCGACGGGAACCAUGCAAAGACAGCAGGUCUGACUCUAUCUUGUGAAGUGGUUUACACCUGGGACUGAAACUUUGUUGAACUGCAGUAAAGGAAACACAAACGAACAAGCAAACCUUCCGACGCACUCCUCCAGACUCAUGUGUGGAGAGUGAAUGGACGAUUAGAGGGACGGAACAAGGAGCAGAGUGAGAGGACAGGACAGGGCAAUGUGGAGAGGUGGUGGUGGGGACGGAGCCAGGACGGUGUCACAACCAAUCUGCUCCAGUUCACUGAUACCAAAAAGAAAGACGAGAGGAGCAGGGGGAGGAGGAGGUGUGUCUGUGAGCAUCUGGUGCGGUCUCUUUAAAUGCUAUUGAGGCACUUCACACCCCGCCCCCUCCAGACAGAUGGAACUGACCCCUUAAUCAGAUGAAGAUUUUCAGCAAAUCCUUCUUGAUACUGGCAGAAGUUCAUGAAGCACUGGUCCUUGAAGUGGGGAAAUAAGAAUUUUCCCACUGAUGUGGUUACAUUUCCAUGAAAAAUAAAAUUUAACCAGACACUUUUACUUUGGUUCUGAUUCUGGGAGAUGGUGUAAUGAAUUGUGUGGGUUAAUACACCCAGUAACCAAACUUUUAGACUUAUCCACAUGCAGCUUCGGCAUACUUAUGCUUGGACUACAAAAUCCAGCGAGAAAGAAAAAUGGCAGAUACGCGAAAUGAAUAUCUGGAAGCCCAUGGCCUUGAUCGGCUGCUCCGCAGCAAAUACUGUGACGUAAGAGUACCAAAACCAUAACAGAGAAUAGAGAAAAUUGAACGGAUGAAAAAUAUUACCCAAACAGAAUAUAUAAGCA